This 253-nucleotide ribosomal RNA is filed under the name uncultured bacterium. Its description in RNAcentral is "partial 16S ribosomal RNA". It matches the Rfam family "Bacterial small subunit ribosomal RNA", at positions 524 to 776 of the family's 1533-position model. The record is from RNAcentral.
UACGUAGGUGGCAAGCGUUGUCCGGAUUUACUGGGCGUAAAGAGCGCGCAGGCGGUCGUGCAAGUCGCGUGUGAAAGCCCCCGGCUCAACUGGGGAGGGUCACGCGAUACUGCUCGACUCGAAGGCAGGAGAGGGAAGUGGAAUUCCCGGUGUAGUGGUGAAAUGCGUAGAUAUCAAGCGGAACACCGGUGGCGAAGGCGGCCUUCUGGACAGUGACUGACGCUGAGACGCGAAAGCGUGGGGAGCAAACAGG